CGGGCGCCCAACCUCCCACCCGUGAAUACCUUACCACUGUUGCUUCGGCGAGGAGCCCCUUCCGGGGGGCGAGUCGCCGGGGACCACAUGAACUUCUUGAUUGUAGAGUUGCGUCUGAGCCUGAAAUAUAAAUCAGUCAAAACUUUCAACAAUGGAUCUCUUGGUUCCGGCAUCGAUGAAGAACGCAGCGAACUGCGAUAAGUAAUGUGAAUUGCAGAAUUCAGUGAAUCAUCGAGUCUUUGAACGCACAUUGCGCCCCCUGGCAUUCCGGGGGGCAUGCCUGUCCGAGCGUCAUUGCUGCCCUUCAAGCCCGGCUUGUGUGUUGGGUCGUCGUCCCCUCCGGGGGACGGGCCCGAAAGGCAGCGGCGGCACCGCGUCCGGUCCUCGAGCGUAUGGGGCUUUGUCACCCGCUCGAUAAGGACCGGCCGGGCGCCAGCCGGCGUCUCCAACCUUUUUUUCUCAGGUUGACCUCGGAUCAGGUAGGGAUACCCGCUGAACUUAA
RNAcentral lists this ribosomal RNA (502 nucleotides) under Aspergillus caespitosus. RNAcentral's name for it is "eukaryotic LSU rRNA". The stretch from base 141 to 294 matches the Rfam family "5.8S ribosomal RNA". The record is from RNAcentral. Lineage: Eukaryota; Fungi; Ascomycota; Eurotiomycetes; Eurotiales; Aspergillaceae.